GGUGAGAUAUUAUCGCUACUAAUUCCAGUAUAUUUCCCAUCCCGUUAUGUUCCCGUAUGUUUUUAAUCUUGUUGGACUGUUCGUGGUCCAAUUACGGUUAGUUUAAGAAAUGCCGUUAUAGUUCAUAAAACGGAUAAUUUACUUACCCAAGUAAUUGGGUGGAUAAAGCUGUAAACAGAUUCCAUCUCGAAGUAUGAUGCAUGUUAGCCACCACAAAAUGAACACCCAAAAGGGCGGGG
Molecule: long non-coding RNA, 239 nt
Filed under: Elaeis guineensis (African oil palm)
Lineage: Eukaryota; Viridiplantae; Streptophyta; Magnoliopsida; Arecales; Arecaceae
Description: long non-coding RNA (EGUI_LNC024074)
Source: RNAcentral